Molecule: long non-coding RNA, 209 nt
Organism: Zea mays
Lineage: Eukaryota; Viridiplantae; Streptophyta; Magnoliopsida; Poales; Poaceae
Exons: 3
Source: RefSeq, a predicted model, not a curated record
UAUCAAUCAAUGGAUUACGAGUUUCUUAGAGGACCAGCUUUUUCAAAUAAUAUGGCCAAAGAUAACCUACAAACUAUGACCCCACUUGAGUGGUGGCGUUUGUAUGGUGGCCGUGCUAUUGAGUUACAGAGAUUUGCUAGACGUUUGGUGAGUCUUUGUUCAUCAGGUUGUGAACACAAUUGGAGUACCUUUGAAUUUAUCCAUACAAA